Erinaceus europaeus (western European hedgehog) is the source of this 4549-nucleotide long non-coding RNA. RefSeq lists it as uncharacterized. The record is from RefSeq and is a predicted model, not a curated record. The transcript has 2 exons. NCBI's taxonomy places the organism in Eukaryota, Metazoa, Chordata, Mammalia, Eulipotyphla, Erinaceidae.
CCCUUUUCAGUUCACCUCCCAGUUGCAGGCACUCCUGAGUAUGCUUUGUGAUGUGGUUUCCAUGAGAAGUUGUGGAGUGGAGACACAACUGUCUCUUCCAGCAGUGUUCCUUACCUGUUAGGCCCUUCACGUGAGUUAAAUGAAUUAUAAUUUUGCCCAAGAGAUCAAACUUUUAGGGAUUUAAAGAUGGCUGUAUUUGUGUUAUUUACUAAAUAAUUCAUACUGGGGAAAAUGAGUUUCAGAUUUUCCUUGGCUCCUCUCGUACAUAUACUUAAAAAGCUUUAAGUAGUAAAUACCAUGAGAGUCUUAGGCUCAGAGGGAUUAUUUAAUACAUGUGUGGCUGUUUCCCCAAGUUUUGAAAGUACUGAUGUGACAAGUUGUCAGAACUUCAGACUUGUUUGUUUUUACUUUGGUUCUUGUAGAUGCCCAGAUGCAGUAAGAAUAUAACGAUCUUUGGCGUGGGACAUUAACACAGCUCUGGGUCAGUGCUCAUAACUCUCCGUGCUGGCCUUGUUCACUGUCACGGACAGACAACUAACUAAAGUAAGAAGAACUUCCACAUUAUCACCAGCACAGGCAACAGCUAUAGAAAGACGCAUCAAAAUCUGAGCAGGGUAGAACGAUGUCUACUUCUCUUCAGUGUUGUCUGUUGGGGUGUGACCUCUCUGGGGACCCCAGAUAAGAGUCAAGCUAAAAAUGAGUCAGGUCACACCAGAUUUUCCUUUCUUAACUUCCUCUUCUCUCCUCUUUUCUCACCAAAUUUAAGCAUGUAUUUAUAACUUUACAACUAAUAAUCUUCUUAAAAAUAUUUAUUUUUGUAUAUGUCCCAGCUUUUCUUUUUUAAUACAACAAUGUCUUUAAUAAGUAUAAUUGAAGUGAUGACCACUCAAUAAUUUUCAGUGUGUGUAACUUUUUUUCCCCUUCAGUUUCUGCAUACAAACUUGUUCUUUGCUUCUUUGUUUUUAAUAAGAGCAUUGUAGCUCUGGCUUGUUUUUCUUUUUCCCUUUUUUCAUAACCUUUAUGCUCUCUUCCUGACCCAAAAUGUGAAACUUGUACAAAUAUAAUGGAAGUAAAUUUGCUGUGUGAAUUUUUUUUUUUUUUUUUUGGUGUGGGAGGCGGCACAGUGGAUAAAGCAUUUGGACUUUCAAGCCUGAGGUUCCAGAUUUAAUCCCUGGCAGCACUAGAACCAGAGUGAUGUCUGGUUCUUUAUCUCUCACCUAUCUUUCUCAUUAAUAAAAUCUCUUUUUUAAAAAAAGAAUUUUCCCCUCUCUUUCGGAGAAAAGGUCCCCCCCUACUAUCACAAGCUUAUGUAUUUAUUAAAGGUUUUAUUUCUUUAUCAGUAAGAAAUAAGAGGGAGGGAAAGAGACUAGAACAUCACUCUGGCACAUAUGCUGCCUGGGAUUGAACUCUGGACUUGAUGUCUGGGAGUCCAGUACGUUAUCUAUUACAUCACCGGGCCACUCUUUAUCUUUCUAAUAAAAAGGGUAAAGUGUCGUGUAUGCACAUGACAAAGUAGUGCAUUAAAUAGACUUUUUCUGUGGCCCUUGUCUGUGUUAUCUUGAAGGUUUGAACAAACUUAGAAAUAAGACUUUUCCAUUGUGUGUUUUCAUCAUUAACUAAUACUUAACAUUUCUGAAACCAAAGUUCUUCAGCUUUCUCAUUUCUUCAGUGAUCUUGGUCUGCCAAGAUAAGCGUGCUAAAUGUUUCUUUGCCUUGUUCUCUUCUUUCAUCGUGGUUUAUUAGAUCUUGAGUGUUAGAGUCAGAAAGUAAGAAUUCGUGAGCUGGUUGUGCACAAGGAAUUUGAACUUUUGUCAUCACUUAAUCUCAAGAAUACCCUCUAUUCCAUAUGCCCAGUCUUCCCCGACCUCUUUGUCUCCUGUGUCUAGACUGCACUGGGGGAAGGACCUGCCCUAAAUCGGCACCUACGGAAGGGAUCAUUCUCUCCCUCCUUGCAUACACCCUCUGGAGCUCUUACCAAAGUAAAGGAGAGUAGGCGACACGUGGAAGAAGGGAAGAUGGAAGUCCAGAAGGCUGAUGGCAUUCAGGACCGCUGUAACACUAUUUCUUUUGCCACUUUGGCUGAAAUUCACCAUUUCCAUCAGAUUCGAGUAAGAGACUUUAAAUCACAGAUGCAACAUUUUUUACAACAACAAAUAAUAUUUUUCCAAAAAGUGACCCAGAAAUUGGAAGAAGCUCUUCACCAAUAUGACAGUGUUUAAUGACUGGGCAUUGGGUUGUGUACUUUUUUUCAGUUCGAGGGUAAUUUCUACCGCAGAAUAAAGACUGCUAUCAAAGAGCUAUUGCCAACUACCAGUGGUGGUACAAGGAUGUUUUGUGUUCAACUGAAACUGGCUGAAUAUAUAAUUAUGUAGGAGAGAACAGUUAAUACGAUUAUGUGAUAGAAACAGUACCACACAGAGUAUAACUAAAUUAUACUCUGUAUGCCUACACUACCAUUGUAACUUUUGGAAUAAUGAUUAUACUAUUUGCCUUAUUGCUUUUUGAAGUAUGGGUAUUUUAGUGCAUACUUUGUAGACCUCAAAACCCAUGAAGGGUCUCAAAGAAGCCGGCUGGUGAAGAGCCUGCUGUGGAUGCCUUUUUACUCUCAGUAGAUUGGGAUUACCUAAAUUCAGCCUAUUCUCUGUUUACAAACUCCAACUAGAGCAGCUAUGCGACUUUGUGCCUUUAGACUCUUGCUUUUUCGUUUCUCCAACCCACCCUCACCCCAUUUUUUUUUUAAGUAACCACAGCUUUUCUGACUGAAAGAGUGAAAGGCCAGUGCAUGUGAUGACAGUCUGCUGGUCACCCCGCAUGAGGCUGUGGGCAGGGCGGGGACAGCCGUCAUAGGUUUGCACAGCACGUGCUGCACCUGAAUCUACUGGGGAGCGAAGCAGAGGGACGUGGACACUCACCUUUAGAUCUGAAGUCUGUCAGGGAAGAGGAUGGUGCCGCGCUUUUCCCUUAGAUGCUGUAGUAGCAGACUUCUCAUUCGGGUGUCCUGGAAACGUGGAGAUGUAAACAAACAUGUCAUAAUGUGGAGGAGUCUGAUCAGUUGGGGACACAAGCACAAAAAUCAGUGAUGACACACUCGGUUUAGUUCUUAGAAGGGUUUGUUUUCUUUUUGGCUUGAAUAUUUUCUUUUAAUAUUCAGUGUGAUUUUUUUUUUUAAUGGAUCUACACUGUUAACUGAUUGAGACCCCACUGUGAUUCACUCGUUUACUUAAUCAAAACUUCAGGGAUGUCUGUAAAAUUCAGUGUUAUACGUGAUGAAAAGUAAUGUUGGUUGAUUUAAGGAGGGACCAGAAACAGUUUCUACUAUUCCAAAUGCUGGAGAAAAAGUAAUUAAAGAAAAAAAAAAAAGUCUUGUUAAGUCCCAUCCCCCAGGAAUAUAACCUUAAAAUUAUUUUAAAUAAGUUCUUUUAUUAUUAUAAGGGAAAUACACGUUUGAAAAACAAACAAAAAAAUUUAAAAGCAACUUAAGUUAAAAAGCACAAAGAGAUUCUGGCUUGAAAUUCCAAAAUCUCAAAUGUUUUUCUGGUUGCUGAACUACAUAAUGCAAUUCUUCCAUUUACAGAUUGAAAAUUUGCCAUCGAAAAGUAAAGUAUCUACUGUUUUUAUGAAGUCAAACUUAAGCUGCCUCAGAAAUCCCUCCCUAGGUAUUGAAAUGACAACAUAGAAAUAAAGAGGUCAGUUUGGAACAUCGGUGUAGAUAGUCUAAAAAGAAAAGUUAUUGAAAUAGUUACUCAGCAGCACAUUUUCUCCCAAAAGCUAUCUUAUUUGAGUUGUAUUUUUAAGAUUAGAGUACUAUGAUUUUGAUCAGAAUUUUAGGUAACUUUCUGAGAGCCAGAUUUAACAUCAUGUGAGUUGUCUUUCCCACAGACACGUGGGUAGUAACCACCUAUCCUGUGCUCUACAAUGCAGCUUUCUCCUGCUGAUCACAAAAUACAGUGCUGUAAACAAACCCACAUAUAUAAAUGUUCAUUUUACUGCAGAAGUUUGGAAAUUGUAAUGAUUACUUAUAAGUUUGAGUCUUUUCCUGGACAAAUUAGCACUAUACUUUUUAAAUGAACAGCACAUCAAUUUUAUUAGCCUCUUGAUAUUUUGAUGGUUUGAAUUCUUUUGAAAGCAAAAUCACUCCCCUUGUGCAGUGAUAGCAUGGAAGUUAUCUGAGGUGUCUUGGAUGUUUGUGCUCUAGUCAGGAUGGACAAAGUUUAAAUUAUGAAACUAAAAGAUUAAAGUACAAGGAAGUCUAAGUUCAUGCUGCCUACUUAUAAGAGAACUUUAGUUCUUCAUAACUAUGUAACAUGAUGAUGCCACUGAUUCACAAGGGGCUUAAAUUAAUUCUUUAUGGUAGGACACCAGGAUUAUUAGUGUUCAUUCUCAUCUAGGAUCUUAUUCCUCUAACGUUCUUGGUCCUAUUGAAACAUUUCAGUAUAUUAAAAUACUGCAAUGUUAAUACCCAAGAGAAAAGCCAUUGUAAUGUGUAUACUGGUCAUCACGAUCAGCGUGGUACAAUUUUUUAAAAUAAACUAUCAUGCCCUCCAUGCUA